GUCCCUGGAGGACUAGUGGUUAGGCCACAGUGCUCUCACCGCUGUGACCUGGGUUCGAUUCAAGUGUGUCA
Molecule: transfer RNA, 71 nt
Filed under: Pangasianodon gigas (Mekong giant catfish)
Lineage: Eukaryota; Metazoa; Chordata; Actinopteri; Siluriformes; Pangasiidae
Description: tRNA-Glu
Source: RNAcentral